Molecule: long non-coding RNA, 803 nt
Filed under: Homo sapiens (human)
Lineage: Eukaryota; Metazoa; Chordata; Mammalia; Primates; Hominidae
Description: HSALNT0366559
Source: RNAcentral
GGAGCCUCUCUGCCUGGCUGCCCAGUCUGGAAAGUGAGGAGCGUCUCUGCCCGGCCACCAUCCCGUCUGGGAGGCGAGGAGCGCCUCUUCCCCGCCGCCCAUCGUCUGAGAUGUGGGGAGCGCCUCUGCCCCGCCGCCCUGUCUGGGAUGUGAGGAGCGCCUCUUCCCCGCCGCCCAUCGUCUGAGAUGUGGGGAGCGCCUCUGCCCCGCCGCCCUGUCUGGGAUGUGAGGAGCGCCUCUGCUGGGCCGCAACCCUGUCUGGGAGGUGAGGAGCGUCUCUGCCCGGCCGCCCCGUCUGAGAAGUGAGGAAACCCUCUGCCUGGCAACCGCCCCGUCUGGGAAGUGAGGAGCGUCUCCGCCCGGCAGCCGCCCCGUCCGGGAGGGAGGUGGGGGGGGGGUCAGCCCUCCGCCCCGCCAGCCGCCCCGUCCGGGAGGUGAGGGGCUCCUCUGCCCGGCCGCCCCUACUGGGAAGUGAGGAGCCCCUCUGCCCGGCCAGCCGCCCCGUCCGGGAGGGAGGUGGGGGGGUCAGCCCCCCGCCCGGCCGGCCGCCCCGUCCGGGAGGUGAGGGGCGCCUCUGCCCGGCCGCCCCUACCGGGAAGUGAGGACCCCUCUGCCCGGCCAGCCGCCCCGUCCGGGAGGGAGGUGGGGGGUCAGCCCCCCGCCCGGCCAGCCGCCCAGUCCGGGAGGGAGGUGGGGGGUCAGCCCCCCGCCCGGCCAGCCGCCCCGUCCGGGAGGGAGGUGGGGGGAUCAGCCCCCCGCCUGGCCAGCCGCCCCGUCCGGGAGGUGAGGGGCGCCUCUGCCCG